RNAcentral lists this ribosomal RNA (698 nucleotides) under uncultured bacterium. RNAcentral describes it as "bacterial SSU rRNA". It matches the Rfam family "Bacterial small subunit ribosomal RNA", at positions 134 to 852 of the family's 1533-position model. The record is from RNAcentral.
UACACACGGAUAACAUACCGAAAGGUAUGCUAAUACGGGAUAAUAUAUUUGAGAGGCAUCUCUUAAAUAUCAAAGGUGAGCCAGUACAGGAUGGACCCGCGUCUGAUUAGCUAGUUGGUAAGGUAACGGCUUACCAAGGCGACGAUCAGUAGCCGACCUGAGAGGGUGAUCGGCCACAUUGGAACUGAGACACGGUCCAAACUCCUACGGGAGGCAGCAGUGGGGAAUAUUGCACAAUGGGCGAAAGCCUGAUGCAGCAACGCCGCGUGAGUGGUGAAGGCCUUCGGGUCGUAAAACUCUGUCCUCAAGGAAGAUAAUGACGGUACUUGAGGAGGAAGCCCCGGCUAACUACGUGCCAGCAGCCGCGGUAAUACGUAGGGGGCUAGCGUUAUCCGGAUUUACUGGGCGUAAAGGGUGCGUAGGCGGUCUUUCAAGUCAGGAGUGAAAGGCUACGGCUCAACCGUAGUAAGCUCUUGAAACUGGGAGACUUGAGUGCAGGAGAGGAGAGUGGAAUUCCUAGUGUAGCGGUGAAAUGCGUAGAUAUUAGGAGGAACACCAGUUGCGAAGGCGGCUCUCUGGACUGUAACUGACGCUGAGGCACGAAAGCGUGGGGAGCAAACAGGAUUAGAUACCCUGGUAGUCCACGCUGUAAACGAUGAGUACUAGGUGUCGGGGGUUACCCCCUUCGGUGCCGCAGC